CAGAGUUUGAUUAUGGCUCAGGAUGAACGCUGGCGGCGUGCUUAACACAUGCAAGUCGAACGGGAAAUACUUCAUUGAGACUUCGGUGGAUUUGAUCUAUUUCUAGUGGCGGACGGGUGAGUAACGCGUGGGUAACCUGCCUUAUACAGGGGGAUAACAGUCAGAAAUGGCUGCUAAUACCGCAUAAGCGCACAGAGCUGCAUGGCUCAGUGUGAAAAACUCCGGUGGUAUAAGAUGGACCCGCGUUGGAUUAGCUGGUUGGUGGGGUAACGGCCCACCAAGGCGACGAUCCAUAGCCGGCCUGAGAGGGUGAACGGCCCACAUUGGGACUGAGACACGGCCCAGACUCCUACGGGAGGCAGCAGUGGGGAAUAUUGCACAAUGGGGGAAACCCUGAUGCAGCGACGCCGCGUGAAGGAAGAAGUAUCUCGGUAUGUAAACUUCUAUCAGCAGGGAAGAUAGUGACGGUACCUGC
RNAcentral lists this ribosomal RNA (475 nucleotides) under uncultured bacterium A14. RNAcentral describes it as "bacterial SSU rRNA". It matches the Rfam family "Bacterial small subunit ribosomal RNA", at positions 8 to 482 of the family's 1533-position model. The record is from RNAcentral.